RNAcentral lists this unclassified non-coding RNA (489 nucleotides) under Hevea brasiliensis (rubber tree). Lineage: Eukaryota; Viridiplantae; Streptophyta; Magnoliopsida; Malpighiales; Euphorbiaceae. The record is from RNAcentral.
UGGUUAGUCUUGAUGCAGCGGUUGUUGGUGCAGUUUGGCCUUUUACUGUUAUUUAUACAGGUGGGAUCAAUCCUCUCCUGUGGAGACCCAUUACUGGCAUUGGUUCAUUCAAUCUCCCGUCUUAUGAUAUUGAAAUUACUCCAUUCUUAGGGACUAUAUUGGAUGGGAANNNNNNNNNNNNNUUUCAGUGUCACCAAUGCUUUGAAUGUUUGGUACAUUGAUGCAAAUUUGCAUCUUUGGUUGGACCAUAAGAGCACAAAAACUGAAGGGAAGGUCUUGACACAUGAGAGUAAGCCUCUUGUUUUUUCUUUGGUGUCCAAUUUCAAGGAUUUGAAUGGAACAUUCUUGUCAACAGCACGAAGGUCUAUAUCCUCAAAUGGAUGGGUAAAGUCCUCCUUUGGGAAGAUAACUACUGGUUUUAAUCAACACUUCAGUUACAGCAACUCAAUGGAGAUGGGUGAGGAUGGGAAUUUGCAGAUUGUGAAUCAG